AUUGAACGCUGGCGGCAGGCCUAACACAUGCAAGUCGAACGGUAGCACAGAGAGCUUGCUCUCGGGUGACGAGUGGCGGACGGGUGAGUAACGUCUGGGAAACUGCCCGAUGGAGGGGGAUAACUACUGGAAACGGUAGCUAAUACCGCAUAACGUCGCAAGACCAAAGUGGGGGACCUUCGGGCCUCACACCAUCGGAUGUGCCCAGAUGGGAUUAGCUAGUAGGUGGGGUAAUGGCUCACCUAGGCGACGAUCCCUAGCUGGUCUGAGAGGAUGACCAGCCACACUGGAACUGAGACACGGUCCAGACUCCUACGGGAGGCAGCAGUGGGGAAUAUUGCACAAUGGGCGCAAGCCUGAUGCAGCCAUGCCGCGUGUAUGAAGAAGGCCUUCGGGUUGUAAAGUACUUUCAGCGGGGAGGAAGGCGGUGAAGUUAAUAACUUCACCGAUUGACGUUACCCGCAGAAGAAGCCACGGCUAACUCUGUGCCAGCCGCCGCAGUAA
RNAcentral lists this ribosomal RNA (504 nucleotides) under uncultured bacterium. RNAcentral's name for it is "partial 16S ribosomal RNA". It matches the Rfam family "Bacterial small subunit ribosomal RNA", at positions 30 to 523 of the family's 1533-position model. The record is from RNAcentral.